UAUCUUUAGUGUGAAUUCAAC
This 21-nucleotide non-coding RNA is filed under the name Caenorhabditis elegans. The record is from RNAcentral. Lineage: Eukaryota; Metazoa; Nematoda; Chromadorea; Rhabditida; Rhabditidae.